UGAAAGCAAGUGGUCAAUAUUGCAUACUAAUUGGUAGAUGCCUAUUUACAUACAUUUUGAUCAAAAUAUAUGUUUGCAUCCAUGAAAGCAUCAUAUGAAGGGAUGCUUAAAGUGUCAUAGUAGUUACAACAGGUAUGCCAUAACUAUUUGCAUAUUAGGAAAAAGAAAUGCGUUGUGUAUGCGAUAUUUGGUCUUCUUUCUGGUUUUCUUUUUAGUAGUUCUUGACCAAAAAUACCUGCAAAAAAAUAAAUAUGUUAUAUUUCAUAGUCAAAAGAAUCCAACAUACGUUCAAGGCAAAUAAUGUGUUGCUAAGUUAGUAAUAAAUAGCCAAUCAGUGAAGAUAGGAAAUUAUAUCAGAAAGACUAUGGUAGUAUCACAAAUACAUAGUAGAGUAGAGACUAAAAAUAGAUAAAUCAAAUCUACAAUCCCUUAGAACAAAUUUACUAAAGAUAUCUUCGCCUUUCUUCUUAUGUGAGUGCUUCACACACAGGCCCAUACUUGGCGAGCUCUUAGAAGAUUAUUGCGUGACUAAUUCACACAUCACACGUCACAUGGACUUCAGUUUCAAAGUAUUUGAAGUCCACUAUAAGAGUCCUUUGUAUCAAUUCUAUUCUAUUCAGCUCAUUUCACUUCAUUUCCAAAUCAUGCUCAAAUGCAUAUGACAAUUCCAAAAUCAACUUUAAAAUGUCUUAAAACACUAAGACAAAAAAAAAAAAAAAAAAAAAAAAAAAAGCAAAAAAUAAAUAACGAACCAGUAGGGUAACCAGUUGUGCUUCAACUACUACAACAGAAUACAGAAACUUUAAGCAAGUUAGUCGGUAUCCAUGUGUUGGUGGUUUCUAUUAAUAGAUUACCGAGAAUAUGGAAUUGUACACAAGGCUUCUAUACUCUUAGUUUGGAAUCAUUGAAUAAAAAUUGCACAAGUUACUCUGUUACCAUCCACUCUUCUUAUAAUGCACUUUUUCUUGUAUCAUGUUUAACUUAAUAUGUCACAUCAUUUACAGUUUCUAUCAUGCUGGAUUAUUGAAGUCAAUAACAGAUUCACAUGCUAGAAAGGUGGGAACUGAAGGUCAACCGUUCAUAUCGGUAAAAGCACGAUAACAUAUAAUUUUGAGUGUGAACGUGUUUAUUCAAUGAUCCACAACACUAAACUACGAAGUUACUCAUGAGUAUCUCCACCACGUUGGAUAAGAUCAAGUAUUUGUUAGCUUAACUACUCAAUGUACUAUUUAUUCUAGAUCAAAACAUCAAACAACACUGAUAGACAAAAUUCCUCCUUUUUCCAAAUUAAAAUUUCUAGGAAGAAGUCUAUAGCGAAUGAAUUUACUCAAAAAUGAAGUUAACUGCAUUCAAAAACACCAAUACCAAUACAGGAUGUCAGAAUAAUUUGUACAGUAAAAGACAAACCUAUUCUAGUUUCAUCAGUUCCAUUUCUAACCUUUUCCAGUCUCUGCUAACAUGAAGUGAUGUAAAUGUAGCAUAAACGAUUCUCAUCUUUUAUUAAGUUUUAAUUUGAUAUGACACACUAAAUUCAUCAUUUCUAAAACAAAGUUAUGACAUAGUUAUUUAUUUUCAUCAAGUGAAUUUGUUUAAAAAAUUCACUCCCGCAUGAAUAUGUGGCAGCUUUUCGCUAUGGAAGGAGCACACUGCUCGCUUGAAGUAUUAACGCUCAUAAAGGAUAAUGUGUUAGCAGAGCUAUUAAUUAGUGAGGAGGCAGCAAGUUGUCGCCUGCUUGUUUGAGCUUUGUUUGCUCUUGCUCGUGCUAGGAGGGCCUCUUUUUUAUUGGAUUGCAUCAUUCUAUACAGUUCGCAUCGCCUAGCCUUCUUGUAGGCAUGUAAUUUUUCAAAGUUUUUAUUUUUAUGAUUUUUAUUCGACAUUUCAGCCGCCGCCUAUUUCCUGAACGUGAAAUGUCAAAUACAUGUUGACAUAACUGAAUAUAUGUUCAACAUGGCUAAUAUGCAUGCAUGUUUAUAUUUUCAAAGAACCUGGGCAAAAACUCACAAUACCUAUACGUAAAUGAUGAGAGCUCAGAAAUUUAUCUUUCGGUUGGAACUCUACUGAGUAACAGAAGUGCACCACAACCACACAAUGGAUCGCAAGAACUGCAACAAUAGAAAAAAUAAAUUGACAUGGACAACAAAGGUCAAAAAGCAAAGAGGAAAUGGAAAACUGGAAGAAAAAAAAAAAUCACUGAAAGACCCACUUCUGAUGACACUCUAAAAAAGUAUAGUAAAAAGUGAGGUUUGAAUAAGGAAGUUUUCACUAAAUAAUAGGAAUAGCCGUUAUUGGAUACUUACAGAUACAGACAUAAAGAAAUUCAGUUUCUGGAUUAGACAUCAGCACGGAAUAACGUGGUCAAAUUCUCCAGUAUGACCAUUAAUGAUACUUCGAUAUUUAAGAUAAGCCGCCUCGCAAAUAAUUUCAAAAGUAAAAACUUUAAAUUAAGAACUUUUCACAAAUUACAGUUUUGCGACUUUGUUAUAAUAAGUAAAAUUCAGUGAUCAUAUACGGUAACUUUGUAAAUUUUCCAGCAGAGGAGACAUCAAAGGUCCUAAAAGUGAGGCUAUUAUGCAUUCAAACUUCUGUCGCUUUAAGACCCUCAAUGAUUCAAGUCGUACAAAUGUUAACACGUGAAGAUCAUCAAAUUCCAGAACCAUGUCAACCACCUCUUUUAAACUCAAGUUUAUUAGCUGCCGGCUUUCUCAAAUCCGGCAUAAGGAGUUUAGUGGCAACGCAAAACCAAAAAAUUCCAAAACUUAGCAUGCGUCGAGUUUAAAAAUGCCUUUUUAUCGUUCGAUUUAACACACACCAACCAUCCAAAGCAAGAAGUAUAGGAAGAACCAAGAAAACCAAAAAAAUCUAAAUUCAGCACGCUUCGAGUUUAAAAAUGCUUUUUUAUCAUUCAAUUUAACACACACCAACCAUGGAGUUCCAAAAUUAAAAUUCAUGAAUAGAACCCCAAAGAUGGGGCAAAGAUUAGAAGAAGAGAAUGCUGUAUUGACUUUUCACUAUUGAAUUAUUUUCCAACAGGGACGUUUAUUUGGGCCUCCUUGACACUGGAGUUGAAGUUGCCAGGUGUGUAAUUGCAGUGCCUAAUUUAUUCUUGUUUCUCUACUAUUAAUUAGUUGUAUUUUUCAUUAAAAUUAAACUACUAACUACUAACUUAUUAGAGGGUGAGGGCUUUAAUUAUUUGUCACUGUUGGGAGCUAAAGUUCACACUCUUUUCUUUCUUCUUUAACAUGGCUUAUGAUAAAGCUGCUAUUAAGUGUAAUGGGAAGGAUCCACUUACUAACUUUGAUCCUAACAUUUAUGAAAAUGAACUUAACUCAACUGAUUUAACAGAACCCAUGAACAAAUACUUAAAAUUUUCUUUCUUUCAAUUAACCCAUGAACAAAUACCAAAAAUUUUCUUUCUUUUAGUUAAGCUUAAUACCUAUAACAGUAUCAUCAACGGACUGAAAUUUGCAUGUGGGUUAAAACAAAUUGAAAGAGCAGUAGAAGGAGAAACAAAUACAGAAGUACAAAACUUGAAGUUGAAGAGGGCACAAAAGAAGUAUGCACUGAGCCGCGCUGAAACUUGAGUAAGCACUGUAACACUAUACCCAAAAAUUUCUUCUUUCAGUUUAGACUUAAAACUCAUAUCAGUAUCAUCAAUGGACUAGAAAUCUCAACCAAAAAAAUUGCAUGUUGGGUGAAACUAAUUAAAAAGGCAAAAAAAGGAGAAACAAAUACAAAGACGAAACUACAAAAUUGAAGUUGAAGAGGAAGGGAUUGUUUUUUCUAUCAGAUGUUUAGCAAAAAUCAUGGGCAAAAUUGAUUAAAAUUGUACCUGCAAGUAGAAGAAAUUUGAGUAAGAGGAAGAGAAUCGGAGAAGUUCAGAACUUGAAAGUUUAUUACAACCUUAAGCAUAUUUUACUCAAUUGGAGAAAACCUAAUAUGCUCCGUCAAAACAGGUGUGGGCUCAUCUAAAAA
Molecule: long non-coding RNA, 3972 nt
Filed under: Nicotiana tabacum (common tobacco)
Lineage: Eukaryota; Viridiplantae; Streptophyta; Magnoliopsida; Solanales; Solanaceae
Description: long non-coding RNA (NTAB_LNC008238)
Source: RNAcentral